CGACCCCAGGUCAGGCGGGAUCACCCGCUGAGUUUAAGCAUAUCAAUAAGCGGAGGAAAAGAAACUAACAAGGAUUCCCUUAGUAACGUCGAGCAAACCGGGAAGAGCCCAGCUUGAAAAUCGGACGUCUUUGGCGUUUGAAUUGUAGUCUGGAGAAGCGUCCUCAACGAUGGACCGGGCCCAAGUUCCCUGGAAAGGGGUGCCAGAGAGGGUGAGAGACCCGUCGUGCCCGGACCCUGUCGCACCACGAGGCUCUGUCUACGAGUUGGGUUGUUUGGGAAUGCAACCCCAAUCGGGCGGUAAAUUCCGUCCAAGGCUAAAUAUGGGCGAGAGACCGAUGGCGAACAAGUACCGCGAGGUAAAGAUGAAAAGGACUUUGAAAAGAAAGUCAAAGAGUGCUUGAAAUUGUCGAGGGGGAAGCGGAUGGGGGCCGGUGAUUCAUCCCGGUCGGAUGCGGAACGAAGCAAUCCGGUCCGCUGAUCGAUUCGGGCCAUGGACCAACGCGAAUUAAGGUGGUGACCUAAGCCUGGGCUUUUAUUACGCUCGCGGAGACGUUGCUGCCUUAAUCAUGGUCUGCAGCACGCGCGUCACGGCGUGCCUCGGCAUCUGCAUGCUCAGGGCGUCGGCCUGUGGGCUCCCCAUUCGACCAUUCUUGAAACAUGGACCAAGGAGUCUGACAUGUGUGCAAAUUAACGGGUGAGUAAACCCGUAAGGCGCAAGGAAGCUGAUUGGCUGGAUCCCUGACGGGUGCAUAACCGACCGACCUUGAUCUUCUGAGAAGGGUUCCAGUGUGAGCCUGCCUGUCGGGACCCGAAAGAUGGUGAACUAUGCCUGAGCGUGGCAAAGCCAGAGGAAACUCCGGUGGAGGCCCGCAGCGAUACUGACGUGCAAAUCGUUCGUCUGACUUGGCUAUAGGGGAGAAAGACUAAUCCAACCAUCUAGUAGCUGGUUCCCUCAGAAGUUUCCCUCAGGAUAGUUGGAGCUCGGAAACGAGUUCAAUCGGGUAAAGCCAAUGAUUAGAGGCAUCGAGGACGGAAUGUCCUCGACCUAUUCUCAAACUUUAAAUAGGUAGGACGGGGUGACUGCUUU
Molecule: non-coding RNA, 1089 nt
Filed under: Brassica napus (rape)
Lineage: Eukaryota; Viridiplantae; Streptophyta; Magnoliopsida; Brassicales; Brassicaceae
Description: Eukaryotic large subunit ribosomal RNA
Rfam family: Eukaryotic large subunit ribosomal RNA
Source: Rfam by way of RNAcentral